AGUAGACCAGACUGUUGAAGUGCAUCCCACCUCCAACCCGAGAGAAUUCAGAUUCAGCAUGGAGGCCUUCAAGUUCAUCGGCUUGAAUGACCAGGUGUACAUCAGCUGUUCAGUCCUGAUGUGUGAGGCAGGGAGCCACGGCACCAGGUGCUCGCAGGGAUGCAUCAACACUCCCUCAUUGCCAACCGGUCUUCACCACCACCGAAAGAGAGAGGCUCACGCUCAGAGUUCAAGGCACUUUGUUUCCCAGGGUCCCCUGCGUUUAAAGAGAUCAGCAGAAAGCACCGGGAGCGCAGGUAUGAAAACAGGGAGUGUUUUCCUAAGAACACACCUGCAUAGUUUGAGUCCCAGUUAGACUUUGGACAAGAUCUAAUCUAAAUUGUGCUUCUCUUUCCUCCAGCGGUCAACCUGAAUCUGAACCUGGUAUUCAUCGCUGGAUGUCUUCUUGCAGCUGUCGGCAUGAUCAGUGCAGUGGUUCUGUACAAAGUCAGAAUGUCAAAGGUGAAAUACCAACCGUUACCCACAGAUGAACGUUAAGAAAGCGGCAUGUGCAGAAUACAAUUUUAGUAUUAACGACAUUUAACAACAAGCUUUUUUAAAUUGGUUUUGCUAUCAGAUAUUGGGUGUUCAUGUUUCUUAUGUGCAAAUUUAAAUAAAACAUUUAAUGUCAACACUUUUAGAAAUACUUAAGUGAAGAAGAAUCUGUACCUGUGCAAAUAGGAAGUUUUAUAUGAAUCAACACUGAGGAUGUUCAAGCACUGCAGCUGCUGAUUGUUUACUUGUGAAGUUUACUGUUUACCCCGAGAUCCCAUGUGCCUUUACAGAUGCUUCUGCUAUUAUGUAUUGCAUGACAAAAGGAUUGACCUAACUGAUGAUACACGUGCUUAAUGAUCAAUAAAAACAUAUAUUCUCUUACAUAUCUUUUUGUUUUUGUCCACUUUAU
This 943-nucleotide long non-coding RNA is filed under the name Cottoperca gobio. RNAcentral describes it as "lncRNA (ENSCGOG00000000975.1)". The record is from RNAcentral. Lineage: Eukaryota; Metazoa; Chordata; Actinopteri; Perciformes; Bovichtidae.